Molecule: ribosomal RNA, 472 nt
Filed under: uncultured bacterium
Lineage: Bacteria
Description: bacterial SSU rRNA
Rfam family: Bacterial small subunit ribosomal RNA
Source: RNAcentral
CCCCAGACUCCUACGGGAGGCCGCAGUGGGGCCUCUUGCACAAUGGGCGCCAGCCUGAUGCCGCCAUGCCGCGUGUCUGAAGAAGGCCUUCGGGUUGUAACGUCCUUUCAGUCGGGCGGCCGGUGGUACGGUUCCUAACCUUCUCCCUUGACGUUACCGCCCGAAGAAGCACCGGCUAACUCCGUGCCAGCAGCCGCGGUCCUCCGGAGGGUGCCCGCGUUAAUCGGAAUUCCUGGGCGUAAAGCGCACGCAGGCGGUUGAGGGAGGCAGAUGUGAAAGCCCCGGGCUCAACCUGGGAACUGCAUCUGAGACUGGCAAGCUUGAGGCUCGGAGAGGGGGGGAGAAUUCCAGGGGGAGCGGUGAAAUGCGGAGAGAUCUGGAGGAAGACCGGUGGAGAAGGCGGCCCCCUGGACGAAGACUGACGCUCAGGUGCGAAAGCGUGGGGAGCAAACAGGAGUAGAUACCCCCGUAA